Molecule: ribosomal RNA, 748 nt
Filed under: uncultured Peptoniphilus sp.
Lineage: Bacteria; Bacillati; Bacillota; Tissierellia; Tissierellales; Peptoniphilaceae
Description: bacterial SSU rRNA
Rfam family: Bacterial small subunit ribosomal RNA
Source: RNAcentral
GACGAACGCUGGCGGCGCGCUUAACACAUGCAAGUCGAGCGAUGAAAUCUUGACAGAUCCCUUCGGGGUGAAGAUAAGAUGGAUUAGCGGCGGACGGGUGAGUAACACGUGAGUAACCUGCCUUAGACAUUGGGAUAGCCUCGGGAAACCGGGAUUAAUACCAAAUGAAAUCAUAGGUGCCCAUGCACUAAUGAUCAAAACUCCGGUGGUCUAAGAUGGACUCGCGUCCCAUUAGCUAGUUGGUGAGGUAACGGCCCACCAAGGCGACGAUGGGUAGCCGGCCUGAGAGGGUGAACGGCCACAUUGGAACUGAGAAACGGUCCAAACUCCUACGGGAGGCAGCAGUGGGGAAUAUUGCACAAUGGAGGGAACUCUGAUGCAGCGACGCCGCGUGAACGAUGAAGGCUUUCGAGUCGUAAAGUUCUUUUAUAUGGGAAGAUAAUGACGGUACCAUAAGAAAAAGCCCCGGCUAACUACGUGCCAGCAGCCGCGGUAAUACGUAGGGGGCUAGCGUUGUCCGGAAUCACUGGGCGUAAAGGGUUCGCAGGCGGAAAUGCAAGUCAGAUGUAAAAGGCAGUAGCUUAACUACUGUAAGCAUUUGAAACUGCAUAUCUUGAGAAGAGUAGAGGUAAGUGGAAUUUUUAGUGUAGCGGUGAAAUGCGUAGAUAUUAAAAAGAAUACCGGUGGCGAAGGCGACUUACUGGGCCCAUUCUGACGCUGAGGAACGAAAGCGUGGGUAGCAAACAGG